Molecule: long non-coding RNA, 5787 nt
Filed under: Gossypium barbadense (sea-island cotton)
Lineage: Eukaryota; Viridiplantae; Streptophyta; Magnoliopsida; Malvales; Malvaceae
Description: long non-coding RNA (GBAR_LNC005962)
Source: RNAcentral
ACGAUUGCUAUUUAUUCUUUAAUGUUGUUGUGGUGCAAUUAAGUCCAUACUAGCUCCUUUUUGUUUGCCCUCUGGCCUGUCAAUUAAUCACAAAAAGCCGAACUAUUCUUCAGCAGUGCAGGCCAAGCAAACAAGAGGCAAUGGUUGGUGGACAUUGUAGGAGUUAAACAGGUCCACAUUCCAGGGAAGUAUCUGGGAAUUCAAAUGGGAUGCUCGAAUAGUAAGUUAUGUUUCCAGCCGCUAUUAGAAAAGUUGCAGAACAAACUUGCCUCUUAGAAAUCACUUUGCCUUCCCAAGGUACGAGGCAUACGCUAUCUUCUUUACCAAUUUAUACAUUUUCUUGUUUCAAGGCCCCGAAAUAUGUUGUUGAGAAAGUAGACCAAUUACUGAGAAGCUUCUGGUGGGGACAUGAGCUAAAUCAGAAAAAGUUGCAUAUGGUAUACUAUUUGUAAACUGAAAUGUGAGCAUUCCAAAGCUUGAAUUGUUGAACGAUGCCUUGUUGUUUAAGCAAGCAUGGAGAAUGCUUAUAGAAACCCUUCUAACCUGGCACAAAAAGUAUUGUUAAAUAAGUGUUCUCCAACGAUAAACUUUUAUAAUGUUGUUCAGAAAGCGUCAGAUUCCUAGGUUUGGAAAAGCUUAUUAAGAAGGCGACAUAUUUGCGAAAAAGGUCUUCAUGUCCAAGUAGGGAAAGGAGAGAGAUAAUUGUAAUGUCCCAACAUUUUUAAUACAAUUAUUAAUGACACUGUUUUGGAAAUAUGCACAAAAAGAAUUUUUGAGAAAUUGGAAUGAGCUUAAUAAAGGAUUUCUUUUAAAAGAAUUAACUAAAUACCGAGAAAGAUAAAUGUGAGUUUAAAAUUUUGGACAAAAUAUUUAAUUAGGAUUUAGAGAUGGUAUAAGAACUAGAGUGUACGAAUUAAAAGUUAGUUUAAUAAUUAUUAUUUUUGUAUAAAGGAGACAUGAAGAAUUGAAAAUCAAGUCUGGAUUAAAUUGAAUGUGUGGAUUAUUAAAGGGGUAUUUUGGAAUUUUCUACAUGCAAUUCGUUUGUACUAUCGUGGAUUAUUUUUCGGUUCCUUAUCUAUUUGAACUAUGACUUUAAGUACAUCAAUAUAUACAAGUCAUGCAUAUAUAGUUUAUUAUCCACUUAGGAUUAAGGUAUACCACAUUAUGAAUAUCACAAGUGAAUAAAUCCAUAAAUGGAUAUAAGAUAAAUUCAACUUGGGUCUUGUUUGAUGUAUUACCAAUCCAAAGAAUUAUAUCUAUGUUUUUAUCUUUUGGGAGUCAUCCACUCCGAUACCCAAAUAAUGUAUCUCCCCAUCAGACUUAAUAGAUGACAUAAUAGUCAUUCAAUCAAUUUGCUCAAUUUCGAUUAUACUAUAGACUAUUUAGAUUAUCUACUAAUAUAAGUUGCAUUUUCGCAUUAUGAUCCGACCACAUAAUGCCACUUAAUAUUAGUUAAAGAUUAGAUAAUCAAUGAGUCAAUAUUUAUUUAUAUUUUGCUUUGCGUACAAAUACUGUUUUGAAAAAUUACAAAUACACUACACUUAAGGCAUUAAAUCUUAACAGUAUCUAUGCGUAAUGUAGAUAUGAUAUAAUACAUUAUGAAAUAGCACAUAUGUUCACUUGGUUUUGUUUGAAGGGAAUGCACUUUUAGUUCAAUAUAUAUAUAUCUUCAAGGGCGAAGCCAGAACAAUUUUUUAGGGGGGUCAGAUAAAAUUUUAAUUUUUUAUAGUUUAUAUCUUUAUAAUUUGUAAAGGAUUAAAUCAAAAUUUUAUAAUUUUAGGGGGACUAAAGUGCAAUUUUACAUUUAUUAAUUUAAAAUUUUUAAAAAAUUUAAGGGCCAAAAGAACAAAUUUACAUUUUAGGGGGGGCCAGGGCCCAUGCCAGCCCCCCUGGCUUCGCCCCUGUAUAUCUUGGUUGUGUUUGGCUAGGGCACCUAUGGUACAAUAUGUACAUGGUAGUUUUGUAUGAAAGUAUCAAGUGUUGGAAUCUUAUUUUAUUAAGUUCUAAAAGUAUGAGCAUUGGUAAAAGAAAUAUAUACAAGUAGAUAUGUAUAAUAACAAGUUAAGAAAAUAAGAAUUUGAUAAUAAGAUGCCAUUAGUAUGUUAAGAAAGAGGAAUAUAAAUAUUGAAAUAGUAAGCGUUGUGAAAUGAGAAGAAAAUGUGAAAUUAUUGAUGGGAAGUGCUUAUAGAUUGAAAAUAAACUUAAGAAUUGAAUUGUAUAAGAAAAUUCUCGUUAAAGGGACAAAAAGAUGUUAAUAGAUGAUAAUCACUCUAAUUAAGUAAAACAAAUCGUACUUGAGUGUUUGAGUUUUAAUGAAAAAUUAAUAAGUGAUUUAAAUGAAACAAGAUUUUAUGUCUAUAAAAGAUUCAACACUAACAUGCUUGUAAUCAGGGUGAAGACUUAUAGGGAUAUGAAAAUGAGUUCAUAUGCAAUUGUGUUAAGGAAUAACUGUUACAUACUUAUAAUAUGUAAUGACAUUAGGUAUGUGUGAGCUAUAUGGAAGUUUGUUGGUGAUUCUUGUCUUUUAAUUGGUUAUAUGAAUAAGUAAGGCAUAAUAUGAAGAUAUUGAUUUUGUUUAUUGAUGAUUUGUUGUUUGUAGUUUAAUGUUUAAUAACAUGUUUUUAAUUUAGAAAACAUAUGUGGUACUGUUGGACAUUGAUGUACACCACAAUGCUUUAAAAAAAAAGCUCAAUGUGCGAAUGUUGUUCCGUCUCAAGUUAUAGGGGGUUUGAGUUUGGUUCUUCAUGUAGAACAACAUCACACUCAGAUAUCUCAACUAAUUGAGUGGUUUGUAAUUCCUUUUCAGCCUUUUUAAUAGUCAUGACACGUACUUAGGCCUUAAUUUUGUCUUUUAGGGGUGCUUGACUUGGAUUUAAAUGUUAUUUUUGGUUAUUUGGCAUAUUUAGUACAUGUUUGACACUUUUGGUAAUUUUGAUGCACUAAUUUUGAUAAUUUAUUAAGAGACUUAGAUGUUAUAUAUGUAUGUUGAUUCAAGUUGCUUUUUAAUUACCAUAGAGGCUAAAAUUUGAUUUAAAGUAUGUUUGACCAUGAAUUUGCAUGUUAUACACAUGUUUUGAUAUGUCAAAUUUGUUAGUAUUAGUUUGGUCUAUGUUAUGUAUGUUUAAGUAUGGUUUAGAAGCUUGGAACACUUGAAAUGAUCAAUUUUCUAUAUUUCUGGUAUGAAGUACUCAAGUAGCAGAAUCACAUAAUUGGCUAUAGGUACCCAAACUGCAAAUUCCAAUACUUGCAAAGUUAGUAGCUAAACUUGUGAAAUAGGGGUGACAAGUAGCAUCAAGUAUUGGUAUGUGUAUCAAGUUCUUGUUUAGUUCAAGCCUAUCUGUAACGACCCAAAAUCCGUGGGCACCGGAAAAGUUUGCUAUCGGGCCUCUGUCUUAGUGAAAUAAGUUCGAAAAUAAUUAUUAAAAAUAUUUAUGAGCCUAGUGGUGUGUCUAAUUAGGUUUUAAUUAAGUAAAUUUAGCUUAAUUUAGAGUAAUUAGCAAAAAGGAUUAAAUUGAAUAAAGGGUGAAAGUCUAAUUAUAGAUUAAAAGAAAGUAAAAAGGGCUAAAAUGGCAAUUAAACCAUUUAGCAUAAGUUGAGACGGCAAACAUGUUAAAAUCUAAGAUAUUUUUAGAUUUUAAUUAUGUAAAUAUAUAUAAUUUAAUUAUUAAUUACUUUUUUAUUUAAGUAUAUAGAUAUUUAUUAUUUAUUAUUAUUCUAUUAAAUUAUAAUUUAUAUUAUUAAAUUAUUAUUAUUAUUAAAAAUAAAUUAAAAUAAAAACAAAUGUAUGGUGAUUAAAUUAUACAAGUGUAAUUCAUAUAUUUAUACAUUUGUAAUAUAUUUAUUUAAUUACUUUUUAUUUAAGUAAAAAGAUUUUUAUCAUGUUAAAAUAUUAAAUUAUAUAAACUAAAUAAAAUAAGGACAAUUAGAUGGUGAUGAUAAUAGGCAAGUGUAAAAUAUAUGUGUGUCCAAUUGUAAUAUAUAUAUUGUUAUUAAAUAAGAUAUUUAUAAUAAUAAUAAUUAUUAUUAUUAUUAUUAUUAUUAUUAUUAUUAUUAUUAUUAUUAUUAUAAAGUUAAUAAAAUAAAAGAAUAAAAGAAAUAAAAUAAAAUAAAGUAAAGAAGAAACAGAGAACAUUUCGAAACAGAACAGGAAAGAAAAAGGAAAGAAAGAAGAAAGGGAAAAUUGAGGUUUUAAAGCUUGAAGUUUAAUUGGUAAGUUUAAUCAAGUCCUUUUCUUAUAAAUUUGAUGUUUUUGGAAUCUUAGAGUGAAAUACUCUUGAAUUUAAGUUGAAAUUUUGAAAGUUAAUAGAUUUUUGAGUAGGGUUUAUGUUGAACAAAUGAUGGAAUUGGGGGUUUAUUUGGUAGAAAUUUUGAUUAGAAUUGAAUAAAGGAUUGAAUUGUAAACUAAGCUAUAAGUUUUGAGUUUUAGGGAUUAAAUUGAAAUAAAUUCGAAAUUAUGAAAAUAUGAUAAAAAUUAAGUAGUUAGAUGUGAGUUUGGUAAGAAAUUGAGUAGUAAAAAGGUAUGAAUUGAGAAAGAAAAAUAUAUAGGUUUAGUUGGGAUUAAAGUUGAAUUAAAGGAAAAGUUAGAUAAAAAUUUCAGCAUUUAAAUUGUGUUAUGCUAAUAAUUGUGAAAUUAUUUUAAUUGUUCAUAGCUAAUAUCGAGCCUGAAGCAUCGGCCUAAAAAGGAAAAGGAAAGAUCGUCGAGGAUUAAAUCCGAAGAGAAUUCUAGUUUGUAUCACUAUAACUCAAGCUUUAUAAUUAAUGUGUUUAAUUUAAUAUGAAUAUGUGGUAAGUAUUUUAAGGUAAGUAUUUAAUGAAAUAACAAAAUUUGUGAUUGGGUAUUAAAAUCGAGAUUGAUACUGAACUGAAUUAUUGGAUUCUGAAUAUUGUUUUGAAUACCGAAUUAAACUGUAAAAUUACUGAAUAAUAUUACGUAUAUUGCAUUGAACUGUAAAAUUUCUAAUGAAGUAAAUUAUUGUAUUACUGUGAAAAUUGAUCAAAAUAAUAAAUUAUAAUUAAUAUUGAAUCGAAAUGGAAAUUACACUGAAAAAUGAUUUAAAUACCCUAUUAACUAGUCAGGCUAGUCGGAUAUAGUUGGAAUGUUAUAGGAUAUGGAAGAGUACGGGUUUUUGCCGGCUUACUAAUCAGGCACUUAUGUGCCGACUACUGUUACUGUUACCGUUACUGUUACUGAUUCGACACUUUGUGUGUCGAAUACUGUUAUCGUUACUGUUACAGAUUCAGCACUUUGUGUGUUGAAUACUGUUACUGUUAUUGCUAAUGCUACCGUUACUGAUUAGAUACUGUGUACCAUUAAGGCACAUUGUGCCGUACUGGUGUGUUGGUUGGAAUCCGUGUAUCCGCGAGUCCGAGUCAAGUUAAUAAGGAUAAAUGAAAUAAAUCUAUUGAUAAAACUAAAUUUGAAUGAUAUGUCCUAUGUGAAAGUUGAGAAUUGAAAUAAAGAAAUAAGAAUGGUAUAUAUAUAUAUAAUUGAAUGACAACAUGAAAGAUUGAAUUGUUCAUUAAGUGAUGAUAAUUGUAAUGUAAAAGUAUGUGUGUGAUUUAAUGUAUUUAAUUAUAAACUGAAUUAUAGUGAUACCACUGAGUAUAUGCAUACUCAGCGUAUGGUUGUUUCCGUGCGCAGGUUGUAGAAGUCAAGUACUGAACCAGCAUCCAAAGCCAGACCCGACUUCAGCAAACUUUUGGUGAUGUAUAUUUUCUUUUGGUAAUGUGGCAUGUACUUAGGAUGUGUAUAAAUGUUAUUAUGUUUUGAAUAUAAAUGGUUUAAAA